This 229-nucleotide ribosomal RNA is filed under the name uncultured bacterium. RNAcentral's name for it is "partial 16S ribosomal RNA". It matches the Rfam family "Bacterial small subunit ribosomal RNA", at positions 111 to 334 of the family's 1533-position model. The record is from RNAcentral.
UAACGCGUAGGUAACCUGCCUUGUAGCGGGGGGAUAACUAUUGGAAACGAUAGCUAAUACCGCAUAACAAUGGGUGACUCAUGUCAUUUAUUUGAAAGGGGCAAAUGCUCCACUACAAGAUGGACCUGCGUUGUAUUAGCUAGUAGGUGAGGUAACGGCUCACCUAGGCGACGAUACAUAGCCGACCUGAGAGGGUGAUCGGCCACACUGGGACUGAGACACGGCCCAG